CUUGAGACGGCGCACGGGUGCGUAACGCGUAUGCAAUCUGCCUUGUACUGAGGGAUAGCCCAGAGAAAUUUGGAUUAAUACCUCAUAGUAUAUUGAUGUGGCAUCACAUUAUUAUUAAAGAUUUAUCGGUACAAGAUGAGCAUGCGUCCCAUUAGCUAGUUGGUGUGGUAACGGCACACCAAGGCAAUGAUGGGUAGGGGUCCUGAGAGGGAGAUCCCCCACACUGGUACUGAGACACGGACCAGACUCCUACGGGAGGCAGCAGUGAGGAAUAUUGGACAAUGGGCGCAAGCCUGAUCCAGCCAUGCCGCGUGCAGGAUGACGGUCCUAUGGAUUGUAAACUGCUUUUAUACAGGAAGAAACCCUACUACGUGUAGUAGAUUGACGGUACUGUAGGAAUAAGGAUCGGCUAACUCCGUGCCAGCAGCCGCGGUAAUACGGAGGAUCCAAGCGUUAUCCGGAAUCAUUGGGUUUAAAGGGUCCGUAGGCGGUUUUAUAAGUCAGUGGUGAAAUCCGGUAGCUCAACUAUCGAACUGCCAUUGAUACUGUAGAACUUGAAUUACUGUGAAGUAACUAGAAUAUGUAGUGUAGCGGUGAAAUGCUUAGAUAUUACAUGGAAUACCAAUUGCGAAGGCAGGUUACUAACAUUAUAUUGACGCUGAUGGACGAAAGCGUGGGGAGCGAACAGGAUUAGAUACCCUGGUAGUCCACGCCGUAACGAUGGAUACUAGCUGUUUGGUUUUCGGACUGAGUGGCUAAGCGAAAGUGAUAAGUAUCCCACCUGGGGAGUACGACGCAAGUUGAAACUCAAGGAGUGACGGGGCCCGCACAGCGUGGAGCAUGUGCUUACUCGAUGAUA
This 859-nucleotide ribosomal RNA is filed under the name Bacteroidota bacterium. RNAcentral describes it as "bacterial SSU rRNA". It matches the Rfam family "Bacterial small subunit ribosomal RNA", at positions 89 to 959 of the family's 1533-position model. The record is from RNAcentral. Lineage: Bacteria; Pseudomonadati; Bacteroidota.